CCUACGGGAGGCAGCAGUGGGGAAUAUUGCGCAAUGGGCGAAAGCCUGACGCAGCGACGCCGCGUGAGGGAUGAAGGUCUUCGGAUCGUAAACCUCUGUCAGCAGGGAAGAACGGUCACUGUGCUAAUCAGCAGUGAAUUGACGGUACCUGCAAAGGAAGCACCGGCUAACUCCGUGCCAGCAGCCGCGGUAAUACGGAGGGUGCGAGCGUUAAUCGGAAUUACUGGGCGUAAAGCGCUCGUAGGCGGUAUGUCAAGUCAAGGGUGAAAUCCCCGCGCUCAACGUGGUAACUGACUUUGAAACUGGCAAACUGGGGUGUGUGAGAGGAUAGUGGAAGUCCAGGUGUAGGAGUGAAAUCCGUAGAUAUCUGGAGGAACAUCAGUGGCGAAGGCGACUAUCUGGCACAUAACUGACGCUGAGGAGCGAAAGCGUGGGUAGCAAACAGGAUUAGAUACCCUUGUAGUC
RNAcentral lists this ribosomal RNA (465 nucleotides) under uncultured bacterium. Its description in RNAcentral is "partial 16S ribosomal RNA". It matches the Rfam family "Bacterial small subunit ribosomal RNA", at positions 338 to 795 of the family's 1533-position model. The record is from RNAcentral.